GACGAACGCUGGCGGCGUGCUUAACACAUGCAAGUCGAACGGAAAGGCCCUUUCGGGGGUGCUCGAGUGGCGAACGGGUGAGUAACACGUGGGUGAUCUGCCCUGCACUUCGGGAUAAGCUUGGGAAACUGGGUCUAAUACCGGAUAGGACCGCAUGCUGCAUGGUGUGUGGUGGAAAGCUUUUUGCGGUGUGGGAUGGGCCCGCGGCCUAUCAGCUUGUUGGUGGGGUGAUGGCCUACCAAGGCGACGACGGGUAGCCGGCCUGAGAGGGUGUCCGGCCACACUGGGACUGAGAUACGGCCCAGACUCCUACGGGAGGCAGCAGUGGGGAAUAUUGCACAAUGGGCGCAAGCCUGAUGCAGCGACGCCGCGUGGGGGAUGACGGCCUUCGGGUUGUAAACCUCUUUCACCAUCGGCGAAGGCUCGGGGUUUCUCGGGUUGACGGUAGGUGGAGAAGAAGCACCGGCCAACUACGUGCCAGCCGCCGCUGUAAGA
This 495-nucleotide ribosomal RNA is filed under the name uncultured bacterium. RNAcentral's name for it is "bacterial SSU rRNA". It matches the Rfam family "Bacterial small subunit ribosomal RNA", at positions 28 to 525 of the family's 1533-position model. The record is from RNAcentral.